Molecule: small RNA, 391 nt
Filed under: uncultured bacterium
Lineage: Bacteria
Description: bacterial SSU rRNA
Rfam family: Bacterial small subunit ribosomal RNA (bases 1-313)
Source: RNAcentral
CUAACACAUGCAAGUCGAACGGUAACAGGAAGAAGCUUGCUUCUUUGCUGACGAGUGGCGGACGGGUGAGUAAUGUCUGGGAAACUGCCUGAUGGAGGGGGAUAACUACUGGAAACGGUAGCUAAUACCGCAUAACGUCGCAAGACCAAAGAGGGGGACCUUCGGGCCUCUUGCCAUCGGAUGUGCCCAGAUGGGAUUAGCUAGUAGGUGGGGUAACGGCUCACCUAGGCGACGAUCCCUAGCUGGUCUGAGAGGAUGACCAGCCACACUGGAACUGAGACACGGUCCAGACUCCUACGGAGACAGCAGUGGGACUCCUACGGGAGGCAGCAGUGGACUUCNAUCUCACGGCAGCAGGGGGACUCCUACGUGAAGUCGUAUGGGUGAUUCU